AUGCAUGCCUAAGUACAGCUCGGUGGGGCAACCUACCGGGCGAAACCGCAGACGGCUCAUUAAAUCAGUUGUGGUCUAAGGGGGCAACAGAUUUCCUUACUUGGAUAACUGUGGAAAAUCCAGAGCUAAUACAUGCGAUUCGAAGUCCUCAGCCAAAGCCUCGCGUCGCUCGCGGCGUACGGUGACUAACUGGGGGUGCUUUUAUUAGACCGAGGCGCGCGCACACGUAGCUUAGCGCCUGUCUUCACGGGCGGGAAUGCGGCUGCUUGUGUGUCGCACGUAAGCGCUUUAUGGUGACUCUGAAUAACACUGAUAAGCGUGCUUUAAGUAGCACGCUGCCUUCUUACGAGUGACUGCCCUAUCAGCUACUAACGUAUGUUAUACGCGAACGUUGGCUAUAACGGGUAACGGGGAAUCAGAGUUCGAUUCCGGAGAGGCAGCCUGAGAAACGGCUACCACGUCUAAGGACGGCAGCAGGCACGCAAAUUACCCAAUCCCAG
This 500-nucleotide ribosomal RNA is filed under the name Hyperia galba. RNAcentral describes it as "bacterial SSU rRNA". It matches the Rfam family "Eukaryotic small subunit ribosomal RNA", at positions 51 to 454 of the family's 1831-position model. The record is from RNAcentral. Lineage: Eukaryota; Metazoa; Arthropoda; Malacostraca; Amphipoda; Hyperiidae.